Molecule: long non-coding RNA, 7389 nt
Organism: Gallus gallus (chicken)
Lineage: Eukaryota; Metazoa; Chordata; Aves; Galliformes; Phasianidae
Exons: 2
Source: RefSeq, a predicted model, not a curated record
GAGCGCGCGCGGGGGUGUGGCUGUAGCGGGGGUUGUGUAACCGCUGUUCUCCAUAAUUGUUUUGCUGUGGUGAUGCGCGGUUCGCGCGUUCGCCGUUGUCUCUCCCGGUUACUUAUCUCUGGUUCCUCAGUCCCCGUGUUGGGUGCCUGAAGGGGCUGUGGUGGGAAGACCUCACUGUGGCCUUCCAGUACAUGAAGGAAACAUAUAAACAGGAGGGGAAUGGCUGUUUACAAGGGUGGAUAAUGAUAGGACAAGGGAGAAUGGUUUUAAACUGGAACAGAGGAUGUUUAGGUUGGAUAUUAGGAAGAAGUUUUUCACAUGGAGGGUGGUGACGCAGUGGAACAGGUUGCCCAAGGAGGCUGUGGAUGCCCCAUCCCCGGAGGCAUUCAAGGCCAGGCUGGAUGUGGCUCUGGGCAGCCUGGUCUGCUGGUUGGCGACCCUGCACAUAACAGGGGGAUUGAAACUCGAUGGUCAUUGUGGUCCUUUUUAACCCAGGCCAUUCUAUGAAUAGCUCAGGAGUGGGGGAAGUCGUGAUGAAAAAAGGCUUGUGGGUUGAGAUAGGGAUGGGGAGAGCUCGAUAGUUAUGCUUGGGCAAAGCACACACAAUGUAGGGAGAUUUGUGUUAUUUGUGGCCUACUGAUGACAGACUAGAGCAGUGAGAGCUAAAAGCAAAUAUUAUUAUAUGUACUGUAGUAUAUUGUCUCGCAUUCUGAGAUCAUAUUUAGUUAAUUACUUUUCUCCCUUAGCUCAUUGCUGCUGUUUUGUUUGCAGGCCCGUCUCCCUACCUUUCCCCUCUUCCCCUUCCCCCUAUUCCAGAACAGGGAUCCAUGGGUCCCCUCACCCCAUUAGUCAUGGAACUGCACCCAAAGCCAUUGACACAACAACAACGAACACAGAAAAAAAAAUACAUGGAGAGAUUUUCUCUGAGAGACAGAGUGCUUGCUUAAUCCUGGAAAGAAUCCUGGACCGCUUCCUAUCUGGGAAGCAUCUUGGCAUCGUGAGUGGUUCAGCUCCCUGGUGUUUGUUCUUGAUGCUCCUGGAGAGUGGAGGCUCUGCAAAUUAGCGGUGAGCAAACGGGUUUGUUUGCAUGGCACAACAUCCUGAAUGCUUGGUAGAUCAAAAGGAAAGAUGUCAGUGCCCGCAGGACAGAUGUAAUUUGUUUUCUUUUUUAAUGAUUCAUAAACGUGGUAGGAUGGCAGUGACUCAAUUUAUUUUCUGUCAUCCCUAACUUCUUGUAUCAUUAUCCGUUCUUUGGGUUUUUUUGUUUGUUUGUUUUUCCAAUGCCCAUUUCAUUAAGGGGGACAUCUUGAGUGCUGUGCCGUAGUGCUUUCUCUUACUGUUAGGCCAGUUUCCAAAUCCAGCUCUUUUUAUCAGACAGGUUUAUUCCUUCCUACCAGGAGUUAAGUUUUCAAGUACUGUCCACCUUCAUAUCUCCACAUGAAUAUAGAAUCAUAAGCACAGAAGGGUUUGGGUUGGAAGGGAGCUCAAAGCCCACCAACCCCAACCCCUGCCGUGGGCAGGGCUGCCCACCACCAGCUCAGACUGCCCAGGGCCCCAUCCAACCUGGCCUUGAGCGCCUCCAGGGAUGGGGCACCACAGCUUCUCUGUGCCAGUGCCUCACCGCCCUCUCAGCAAGAAAUUUCCCCCUGACAUCUAAUCUAAAUCUCCCUUCUUUUAGUUUUAAACUGUUCCCCUUUAUCCUAUCACUAACAACCGGUGUAAAAGGUUGAUUUCCCUCCUGCUUAUAAGCUCCCUUUAGGUACUGACAGGUGGCAGUGAGGUCUCCUUGGAGCUUUCUGUUCUCCAGGCUAAGCAAACCCGGCUCUCUCAGCCUUUCUUUGUAGGACAAACAGAUGGCAAAGAACCAGAUGUGAUAGGCCUCUUAAUAUGUCAAGUAAAUUGAUUCUAAGAAGUUAUUUCAGAGAUCACAUAAGGCAUCAACAACAAACACUUACAUGUGGAAAAAAGCCUGAACUCAGAUACCCGAUGAGUAAGUUAGACAGAAGGCAGCUAACAAAGAUACUAGGAGACAGCAUGUUGAACAGAUCAGCAGUGGAAGGCUAAAGAAGAGAGGCAGAUUUAGAGAGCUAAUGUACAAGAGUUUGUGUGGCACAUACAGAAAUAGAUCAGUAAUCUUAUAUAGGUCAUGGCCUCGCCUUUUGGAGUGUUUUCUAUUACCCUUUCACUAGUACAGUAGAAAGAAAAUAGUAUUAGCUUACACGUGUGCUCUUUCUCAAGAGUCUUAUACAAGAAGAUAGAGAAAGGUUUUUGUUUUGCUUUCUCCCACAUGCUUGCUUGUAACUAAUUUACUUUCUUACAUCUUAGUGGUAGGGAACAGAUUUUGUGGGGAAAAAAAAACAAAACAAAACACCACAAAGAAGCUGAACAGAGUGCUUGGUAGCAAUAACUUGUUUUACUGCUUGACAUAUCAGUGCCAAAGGAGAGAACAAGUGCACUGCUAACCUUUGAUAGCAUGAACUGCAGUAUGAUCUGCAAGAUCUGGCCAAUGUGAGAAGGAGUGUGUUAUCUCUUACAACUCUUUGUUUGCCAACUCCCUUUGCCUCGUAACAUAGUUCUACUGUCCUGGCUUGGAAGAAGCCCAGACCAGGCCUGGAUGCAUGCUUAUAGAUAGCUAAAAUGGUGAUAGUGAGAGCUGACUUGGAGCUCAGGGUGGGUGAAGAGAGUACGAGGGGACAGCCUUAGGGCUGGGCAGACACAUGGCUUUGCCUAUGCACACCGUUCUGCAGUUACCUGCAAGGCACGUCUGUUCUAGCAGGGUACUGAAGUAGUGAUGGUCAAAAAGGUUCCUCACACUGCAUAAUGGGAGACACAGGUAUUUCUGAAGGGCUAGGAUCCAAGGGAGUCUUGGUUAUUUCCCAAUUUGCUUGCUUAAAAGGCAAAUUAAUUAAUUGUUGUGUAAUGUGGGUUAAUAGAAGUCUAAUCUACAUAGGAGCUCAUCAACUUCUAUGCAAAAUGUGCAUAGAAACAAAAAAUCCCAAGCCCUUAUGUACUGUACAAAUAUGGCAUAUAUUGAGCGUAAAGCCCCUCCAACAGAUUAACGUCCAUUCUGAUCAGGAUUUUACAUGGAUUAAAAAAUUAGAGGCAUUUUUAGGGUUGAAAUUCCCAUGGCAGCCAUACCUGUGGUACACUGUGCGAAUGUAGUAUUUUUACUUGGGGUGACUCUCAUGGGGAAAUGCAGAGUGAAACUAAGAUUGUAAUAAUCGGUAUCAUUCCACAUCUCCUGAGCUUACGUGCAUCGGUGCUCACCCAUCGUGAUCAUUGUCCAUGAAUCUAUAUUAAUGUUUUUUUAUGUUUAUUUGCUUAUAUGAAGAAAAACAAAUAGAAACAGCAUGAAUUUUGAUGAAUGAUCCUAUCUGUGGGCCGGUAAGGACGCUGAAUGUGUUUAUGUGAAGGGGAGACUGCAGGUGAGCUAAGUACAAGUGUGCCCACGCCAGCAUGCAGGAAAGCAGGCAGCUGUCUCUUCUCUGCAAACUCUGGCUCCAAAGGUGAGGAAUGCCAGUGGGGCUGGCUCAGAGUGCUUCUUCCUUCUGCUCCUGGAGCAGCUCUUUGGUUCUUCUUACCUCAUUCUUCCUGCUCCGCAAAGAUGAUGAGCUGUAGCUUCCCAGUGCUGUAAUGGGCAGGUUGCAUGGUCUUUUCGUUUAAAGGCUCUCUGUGGAAUGUGGAAGCUGCAUUUCCAGUGUUGGUGUGACCUUGUGCUGCGGCACCAGUGAGGAUCUGCAACAUUUGGGAGUCACCUAGUGAACAGAGAGCACAAUAUACAUACGUUUUUGCAGGCUUACUCAGAAAGGAGAGUGCCGUACUGCAUCUGGAUUGUUAUUCUGCAAUGUGAAAGGUCUGGAAAAGGCUUGUGGCUCAUCGUGUGUUCUCCUUUGGGAUCCCAUGGCCUAGAUGCUGGAAUCUCCUAGUGUCUAAUGUGUGCUUUGUCACCGAGUUCAGCUGUCUAGCACUGAUGUCUUAACACCGUCUGAGAUAUUUCAGGAUACCCCCUCUGGCCUCUAGCUGCUCCUGAAGGAGUCCCGGAGCUGCCGUCCCCUACCCUUAAGGGCGGAAAGCUGAGUGCAUGCAAGAUGGAGGGCUGCUGCUGGGGUUGCCGCAGCCAAAUGAGGGCCUACAGGGUCAGGUUGGCUGCUCUCACAGGAACGCGUUGGCAUGGCCAAUGUUGGGCAAAACAAAGGCCAGUGAGUCCUUCACCCUGGUUAUGGCAAACAGCCGUGCCUCCAGCUUCAUGAGCUCCUGCAUCGUGGCCUGCACUUAUUGGGCCUUUGUGUGGAAGCCUGUGCCUUUUCAUACAUUACCUCAUAUAAAAAGAAUGGCCUUGUAAGGAUUUCAUUUAAAGCACAGAAGAGGAAAUACCUAAUCUUAUAUUUUUAGCCAGGAGUUUCUCUGUGAAGCCCUUGUAGUUGUAAUUAAACCUUUAAUGUCACUUGAUACGAAGUUGAUUUUCAAUCCUGACCCAGAGGAGCAUAUCCUAGAAGUAGCUUCCCAGGCAGCUUCAUAUGGAUGUACGUUUCAGUGCUUCCUGACACAAACUGUUUGGCACUCUCUUUAAUAUUUACAUAUUAGUAACACAACGGGUGCCGGUAUGCCAAAGAAACAAAGCUUUUGAUUGAUUUCUUUAUUUUUGCUUAACUCAUCUGUGCUGACUAAUCAUCUGAUUCAGUACAAAACCACAAGGGAAACGCUAAUUAAUACACAAUUAGAACCUACCUGAAUGCUAUGGGAGGGUAAACUGUGACAUUCCGCAGUGAGAAAUCAAACUUGCCAAACGUGUUGGAAUACAUCUAGGCAGGUCUCCGAGAUAACAAAGACGUGUUUGAUUAGGAGCUGUAAAGGCAUGAUUUAUCCUCCCAGGACACGAGGUGAUCAGGGAGUGACUGAGUUCCUUCACAAAUUAGACCCACGACUCAGGGAGCAUGGGUUCACGUGGCAGUCAGUGAGAAGAGACUCCUGGAUGCUAUUUUAAUACAAAUAAUAAGUGGGAAUACAGCUACAAAACCCAUGAGGCAGGUGCUGUAACGCGGUUGCUACACCGCUGUGUAAUUAAUAUUUAUGUGAUCACCUUUGCAUCCAUUAGGAUUUUUAUUUCCACAGGUCAGUAAACAUCUCCCGCCUGCCAAAAGCACAAAGGGCACCACAGGAAGAGGCCUGCAGACUUUGCACCCAGCACUUGUGCAGGGGAUCGUCGGCUCUCUGCAUUUCUACGAUCCAGAAUGCUUUCACAAAAUGUGGCCAGGGCAGAUAUACAAGUUUCUGGCUGGGACUCAGGUAUUACGACUGUUGGUUUUGGUGGACAGAAAAAGUCCCUUUCUGUUCAUUUAUAAGCUGUUUGAGACUUUGAAAAGCCAGCCCGUGGCUCUGUCGCAGGGCCAAGCCUCGUAGCUGUUCUGGAACAGGCUACAGCAUCCGCUGAAACCCGUGCCCAUGUUGAACCGCAUCCAGCGCUGUCAGCACACGCCACAGCGCGCUGGCAUUGAGGACUUGCAGUGGGCACGUGGGCCUGGCGGGACGGUUCCUGUACGCUUCCUGAGCUGGAGUGAUUUAAGCCUCCUGGCACGUGGCCCACUGCAUCACACGGCUCUGAAACACUCAGAUAUGCCGGUGUGCCUGCGGCUGCAGAGGAAGAAGAGGCUGCUGCAGCCAGCUGCUGGAGAUUAGCACCCGUUCCUAACUACAUGCACAGUUAGUGCCUAAUCCGGAGCUGUCAGUAAGGUCUGGGCUAACAUGCACAUAUUUAACAGCUGGUUUUUCUGAGCCUGGAUCACUCUGACUAUAACCUGGCUAAGGAGUAAUGCCACGUGCAAUCAUGCCAUGAGGUCUGUGGGGCAGCAGCAGUCUUUGCUUAUCAUAUGGAGUGAGCUGCUCAGUGUAGGCAGGGGCAAUGCAGCCAGACACAGUUCCAGACCCAAAUACUUACUAUGAAUAUUCUCUGCAGCCUCAGGUGGACACAACAGGCAUGCAGGAUUUUCAGGUCGCAUAUUCCAGUUGUGCCUGGCCCUGGGCAGCUGAGGGCUUGCUGCUGGUUGCCUCUGAGAUGGUUUCAGGUUCUCUCUCUUUCAAGCCACCACCCUCAUUGCUUUCAGUUCCUCUGCAUGCCUCUGCACGCUGAACUUCUCUUCUGUGCCUGAGACAUGAGGCAGCAGCCAGGCUGUCCCAGUCAACCAAGCCAGAGAUGCUCAUCCCUGUGGUGCAUGGAAAAAUUGAAAUGCUUCCCAUGUGAGAGUAGAAAAUUUCCCCAUACCAGACCACAUUUCUGCUUGCUUCCCUUUCCCUGGAAGCAGGGCAAGAUGUCCCCGGUGUGGGACAAUCCACUGGGGACCCACGGUAAGUCUUUUACACAAACAUGUUCCGGAGUUCAAGAGGAAUUUGAACAACACUCUCAGAAACACAGGUUGUGUGUUCCUGUGUAGAACCUGAGCUCGAUGGAGGAGCUGGGCUGGAUUCAGUGAUCCUUGUGGGAUGUUUUUAGGACAAACUUUGUUGCUGAUAGGAUCAAGGGGAAAAAAUGCAAUGUGAAUGAUUAUAAAACUGUGCAUGGAUUGGAGAUGGGAGUUGGUGUCUGUUCUGGUGAAUUCAGAGCUUAUUAGCAAUGACAAAUGGCCACUGGUUGGCAUCAUGGGUGCAGGUUUCCUGUGACAGAUUCUGCCUUUCACAAUUACCAUCACUAAAAUACUUGAAAAUAUGUCUUCGUUUGCUAAAAUACCCCAAAAUGUGUAAUUUUCAAGAAGAAGAAGUGUACAGACCAGGGACACUGGUUAGUUUAUAUAGACACACGACUCCCUGUGCCCUCUCAUGGAAAUUUUACCAUCUUCAUCCUUUCGAAACUCCAGAGUCAGGAGAAGAAAUUUCAGCUGUGCCUCAUAAACCAGCAUUUCUAAAACAGCCACAAGUCUUUGGAGGGGAUCCCUGCACCUACCUGCCAGGCAUUCAGACCUGGGGAUUAUGAGACACCAAACGCCAGGCAGAGUUUUACAAGUCAUUCUUAGUUCCCUGUUGGUGAACGUCAAUGAAAAAAGGACCUAAAAGGAACAUUUUGUGAAGAUGUUCCUUGCUCUAUGAAACAAGAACUGUUGUGGUAGAGUCCCCGUUGUCCUCAUCCUUUCACCUAACUGACGUGCUUAUUGCUUAAUCCUGUCUUAUAUGGAUUCCAACCUCAGAUCAUGUGGGAAAAGUGGGACUUGAUUAAGACCUAAUUGCCUGUUGUAUAUGCUUGAUAACUUUAAGGUAUGUGUAUGAGGGGCCUGAGGAAGCAAAUGGUACAAAUGACGUCAGUUCAUCCCCUGGACAAAAAUUAAUUUGCCCUUUUCUAAGUAGGUUUGCAGUUUGGAAAUCCGUGUGAAUCUUUGGCUAUGUGACAAUAUAAACUGUGAA